AUCGCUCACGUGGCUGUGUGCUGACGUGGUCUUGUUCACUCCCACACUCCUCCUCAAGGCCAACGUCUAAAGUCAGCCCAAGAGCCUUCGUGAAGACUUCAUGUUUAACACGAGGAAGUGGUUUUGUUAGCACGUCCGCUAGCAUGGAGUUUGUCGGGCAGAACUCCAGCUCGAUCAUUCCUCUCUGGAUCUGCUCUCGUAUGAAAUGGAAGCGCAGCUCAAUAUGUUUAGUACGAGAGUGGAACCUGGAGUUCUUGGUCAAAGCUAUUGCAGACUGGUUGUCACACAAUAGCCUAACCACGCCCGUGUUGAUUUGUAGAUCCUGGAGAAGUCCCUUCAGCCACGCUGCUUCCUUGGUUGCAGCUGCUGCAGCUAUGUACUCAGCCUCAGUACUCGACAUCGCUGUAAUAGCCUGUCGUUUGCUGCACCAGCUUGCGACAUUUCCAUUUAGCAGGAAAACGUAGCCUGUGGUUGACUUCCUGUUGUCUGGAUCCCCGGCCCAAUCAGCAUCAGAGUAACCAACCAGCUUAUUGCCGCUCUCGCCUCUGGAGUACUUUAAAGUUAGCUGGUUAGUCCCUGCCACGUACCUCAUAAUACGUUUCAAAGCCUGCCAGUGUGCUGUGGAGGGACGGUCCAGGUACUUCGCCACUGUUCCCACAGCAUACGCAAGGUCAGGCCGAGUGGAGAUUACCAGGUAGAUCAGGCUGCCGACCAUAGAGCGAUAGACUGCUCUAGAUGCUUUCUCCUCCUCGGGAGAUUGAUCAAGGUACUCUCCACUCUCAGCAGAUAAUUUCGUGCCUGUUUCCAUGGGAGUAGCAACCGGAUUAACAUGAGCAAGGCCAUACCUCUGGAGCACGUCGGAAACAUAUUUUGCCUGGCUUAGCUCCAGAGUGCCUCGUUCCCUGUUGCGCGUCACCUGGAUACCGAGGCAGAAAUGCAACUCACCGAGGUCUUUCAUGGCAAAUUUAGCGCCAAGGUACGUUUUAAAUUUGUGGAUCAAACGUAGCUGAUUUGCCACGAGAAUAGCAUCGUCCACAUAUAGCGCAAGGAACAAAUAGCCCUCAGCGUCAAAAUAUAUGUAGAGGUUACAAUCAGCAGCACUGCGCACGAAACCAAGGGAAAUUAGAAAAGAAUCUAUUUUCGUGUACCAUUGGCGUGGCGACUGCUUGAGUCCGUAGAGAGCUUUGUUAAGCUUGCAAACGAGGUGUUCUUCUCCAGGCUGGAUAAAACCAGGAGGCUGAGCCACAUACACCUCUUCAUCGAUGUCGCCAAGGAACGCAGUGCAAACGUCAAGUUGAUGGAGCUCGAGAUCCAAUUCUGCAGCUAGGAUUAGUAGCAUACGAAUGGUUGUGAGUUUCACCACCGGGCUGUAAGUCUCCGAGUAGUCCAGCCCAUGAACUUGAGAAAAUCCGCGUGCCACAAAUCUCGCCUUGUAGCGCUCAAUGCUUCCAUCAGCGUUGUACUUUUUCUUAAACAACCACUUGGAUGAGACGAGCUUUCUGCGAGCUGGAAGUUCAACCAGCGACCAAGUGUUGUUUUUCUGGAGAGAAUCAUACUCAUCCUGCAUAGCUGCCUGCCAGUGCUCAGCUUCUGGUCCGUGUAGAGCCGCCUGGGGACCGAGAGAGGCAGGUGGAGCCGACAGAGCCCAGAAGUAGGCACGCUUUCCUAUAGGCAUCGCCUCCUUGGCUUUAAGAGAUGGUUUCACGACACGACCCGAGCGUGUCACCACUGCUGUGCCGGCUGGAGGAGGUGGUAGCUUGGGAAUGCUGGGAGGAGUGGUGGCAUCUUGAUAUAACUCGUCGCCAACGAACAGGUCAGCCACAAGCGUGGAAAGAUCUGGCUGUUCAUUGGUGCUUGAGGAUGCAGCCGCUGUGGCCUGUGGAGUCGUCAGAGGAGGUGUCGAAGGAAGAGAAGUAUGCCAGAUCGCCUCCUUCGGGCGCUCCUUCAGCAACUCCUCCUGGCUCUGCAGCGGCUGGAUUGUCUGGUGCUGGGUGGAGAUGUGGAACGUCGUCCAAAAUCUCAGAAAGAUCCACCAGAGAUGGUGGAGAAACAGGAGGGAGUCUCAGGGUAUCUCGAUAAAGAUGAGCUUCAUCAAACACCACAUCUCGGCUCACCACCAGUUUCCUGCGCUGGCAGUUAUAGAGUCGAUAGGCUUUUACCUGGGUGUGAUAGCCCAUGAAGAUGCAUUUCUCGCUCUUGGGAUCCAGCUUCCGCCGCUGAACAUCGGGGAUGUGGGCGUAGGCUAUGCAACCAAACACCCUCAAGUGCCCUAAUUUGGGACGCUUCCCAGUCCAUACUUGAAACGGCACCUGUCCUGUGGAACGUGUUGGCAGCCGGUUCCGGAGGUACACUGCUGUGUUGAGUGCCUCUCCCCAAAACACCUUGGGCAUGCCAGCGUGCUGGAGAAGGCAGCGUACACAGUCCAUAAGUGUCCUGUUCAGGCGCUCGGCGACCCCAUUCUGCUGCGAGGUGUGGGUGUACUCGUGGUGGAUGCCAGCCUGAGCAAGAAAUGCCAGAAACUCAUUGCUCAUAUACUCACCGCCGCCAUCUGAACGUAGUGUCCGGAUGGUACAGCCAGUGGCAUUUUCUGCCCAGCUUUUGUAGACCUGGAAGUGAUGGUAGACCUCUCCCUUGUGUACCAUGAGAACAGCCACCGCAUAGCGUGAGUAGUCGUCAAUGAACGAAACGAAGUACCGCUUGUGACUGAGAGUUGCUUCUGGGACAUGGCACACAUCCGUGUGUACCAGCUGAAGAAAUCCUGAGGCGCCAUCUUCUGGACUUCUGCGUGGAAAGGGUAGUCUUGGCUGCCUCCCCAGUUGGCACGUCUCACAUACUCCCAGUUGGCCGGCACCGGUGAGGGUAAAGUCAUCAGCAAGCUUGUGGCUAGCAAGUAGCUGGAUGUCGUGAGAAUUGGCAUGCCCUAGCCGAGCGUGCCAGAGUUGGAGAGAAUUGGCAGCCCAGGAGCUGGGGCGAAUUGCAAGCAAAUGCCCCUGCUCGUGAGUUGAGAGGAUCAACUGAGCAUUGAGCUUGUAGAGAGUCUCAGCUCGUCUACCAAAAGCUACUGGAUGGCCAGUCUCGUCAAAGAUGGUGCAUCCGUCUGCGUUGAAGAGUGUUGAGAAGCCUUGAUCUGCUGCUACACCAACUGAGAACACUGUCUGUCCUGCUUCUGGUACGUAGUAGACCUGGUUCACGAGCUUCUCAGCUCCACUCUCCAACUUUAUGAUGACCGUUCCUUGUCCUUCCACUGUUAAGGGGCGUUUGUCUCCUACAAAGACUUGCUUCUCCUGCUCCAGUGGGCGGUACUUGUGAAAAGCUCUCUUCAAUGGUGUGAGGUGCAUCGAGGCUCCAGAAUCCAUCCAGAGCACUUCGGCUUCGGACACAGUGGAUGAAGAUGCAGCGAGCGUCAUCAUCAACAUCGUGUCAGGUUGGCGUGAAGAAGAGCUUCUUUCAGCGCGAGCUUUCUCUGCGGCUUUCUUGAUCCGGCAUUCACGCUCCACGUGGCCAGCUUUGCCGCAGUAGUUACAUGGGCCCUUGCGUUUUUUAUUGGUUGCAAAUCCAGGGCUGGGAGAAGGGCUCUUUUGUCCUCGAACAGGGCCAUCUCGUUUCUUCCCACCCGAUUGCUUUCCCAUGAUCAAGGCCUGCUCCACCCGAGCAGCCUGAGAGGGCGCCUUUUGUCUCCGCUCGUUCUGCUUUCGUUCUUCCUCGAUCAGGUCCGAGUAGAGCGAAUCCAAGUCCUUUCCAGGCACAGCCGAGAGCAUUGAUGCGAAAGGUUGGAGAUCAGGGGAGACAGAGCUCAGAAGGAAUGCCUUAGCUUGAUCAAUGGUGAUUGCCGCUUCCGCGUCCUUCAGCUCGGUGAUCAUCGCUUUAAACUUUCCAAUGUAAGUGGCCAUGGUGUCAUCAGGUUGCAUUCUCAUCGUGAAGAACCUUUGUGUUAGCACCACCUUAGCAUUGGCAGCUUUGGCAGCGAAGAUUUGUGUAAGGGAUGUCCAGUUCUGGUGGGCUGUUUUGGUAAGAUCAAGGAGAUGAACGAAUUCAUCCCCAAGACCUAACCCGAUGACAGAGAGCGCUUUUCGAUUCUUGGAGUCCCAGUCGAGCCGUUGGGUUACAUCCGCAGCAGCCGGACGUUGAGUCGUUCCAUCCACUAUAGGCCAGCAGUCCUUGGCCAAAAGGAUAAGCUGUACUUUUGUUUUCCAAGUCGAGAAAUUCUGUCCCGUGAACUUUUGGAGAAGUUUCUCCCAGCCCCCAGAGUCCCAAGAAUUUCCAGCAGAAGACAUUCUAUCUAUUAAUCUAAGAAUAGAUUAAACAGAGAAUUUAGAAAGGACGGCGUGGAGAAGAAUCGUGAAAAACUCGGCCGCAACAAGGGCACACCUUCCGGCAGGCUGGGCAAAGAGCUUGUUGGCGCUUUCGCUCCUGGAUCUUCCGCUCCACCCGCGCCAGCACUGCCAAAGCCCUCGCGCGCUCCUGAGCCAAGGGUUCCUGGCCCCUUUGAUUCUUCAUGUGCCACUGUCCUCUGGCCAUUAGAUCGUUCGCUGCUCCGAUACCAUGUGGUAUUAUGAAACGGUGUUGUGUUAUUAUUAUGACGGUUGAUACAUGGUUAAAUGUAUGGGUUUAUCGUGACGAUCCGUGGUGGCGUCUGGAUCGCUCACGUGGCUGUGUGCUGACGUGGUCUUGUUCACUCCCACAAAUGUGUCUCGACCCGUGGUGCUGCCAAGGUUGACUAGGGCAGAGUGCACCGAUUGUGGCAAGGCCACACUUGAUGGGUGUCCAUCUAGGGCAGGUACAGUGCAGUGGGUCGAGUGCACCCACAGCACAUACCCAGAAGAAAAAGAAGAAGAAGAAGAAGAAGGCAUGCCGCCCCUUUAGGUGACAGCUAUUAGUCGUGUGCCCCUUCUUGGGUGGGGUGGGGGACCAUAGAAUCAGUGUGCAUGCACUCCGUCCGGUGGAGUCCCUCUCAUUGCUGCUUUGGUGGAUACCCAACUUCAUGGUGCAUAGAAAAAUAGGCUUGAACAAAAGUCAAUGGUUAAAGACUUUCAUGCUUAUGCAUGAAACCAUGUUAUGUUAAAUCGAGUGACUUGAUAAGUGAGAUUGACAAAUUGGGGGGAAUUAAAACCUUAGUUGAAGGUGUUGACUUUAAAAAGGGGUAACUUAUGGGGCUAAGUAUUGAGGAAGCCAUGCAUGAUCACAGAUUUGUCAAGUGAAAGGACUUAGUAGUUUGAAGGAAUUAGAUUCCUAAACUGUGAUCUGUAACACGCUUUAAGUAUAAGUUAGUGCACUAACAUAGGGAGUCACACCAAGCAUCAUGGGUAAUGUCGCUUGUAGAUGCAUAUAUGGAGGUUGGGUUUGAGUCUCAACUCUCUAGUGUUUAGGUUCGAGUCUCAACUCAUUAGAAUGUGGUGAUGAAUUAGAUUAUGAGGACACUUAUUUUUCGAUGGUCAUGGACUCUCAGUGAGGAGACUAAUUUGGGUACACCAUCAAGUAAGGGAUGCCCUAGAGUUGUGAGACAUAAUUAAAUUAUUUAGUGUGAAAACUCGGCAUAUCUAACUUAAACACUUUGGUGCAAGUGAUACUAAGGACAUUGUGAAUGAGAUGGGGAUACCUAGUCUUAGUUGCUAUGAACCCUUGGCCGAAAGGGCCAACUUAGGCACAUCACUAAGUGUGGGGGAUGUGGUCAACAAGUUAAAGGUCUAAAAGAUUUAGUACUUAUUGGCAAACCUGUUAAAGUGUCAAAGUUAGAUCACUAGAUAAUCUUGUGGCUAAGCAAGGACAAGGUUUUUAUAAUAAAAUUUCUUAGUUCAAAGUGUUAAUUUGAACUGUUGGUAAUGAUGUGGCUUGAUUAAAGUGACCAAGUGGGAAAGACAUUUAAGGGAAAUGAACUGCAACAAUGCAAUGGUAUUGUGAGUUUAGGAAAAAGACUCAUGGAUGGGUUGCUAAGUUAAGCCGUGCAUAGAUCCCAUAGCAAAAAAUGUUAAAGAGACUUGUUAAGGGUGAACACUUUCUAGACUUGGCAAAAUAAAACUUUUGCCAUUGAACAAAAAGGAUAUCUCGAGGAUAGAGAUAGUAAUCUUAUAUUACUUGGUUCAACAAUCAACGGGUAGGAGCAAAAGACUAAUGGCUAAGUUUAGGCCAUGGAAAUCAUUAAAAGAAAUUUAAACAACAAAGUUGAACAAGGAACAUUUAUGUGUUGGAUGCUAACACAUUGUGGGAAAGAGAAUAUGUUUUCAAGGAUGAAUUCCCAAAUGGUCCAAUUUGGCAAAUGUGAAAGUUCCAAAAGAAAGAACGGCAAGGUAGCCAAAUGAUAGGGUUAUAGAUAGCCUUAGCACAAAUUAUGGAAAAAUGAAACUUAGUGCCUAAAGUGGCACGAAAUAAGAGAAAAGAUGAUGGUACCCUCAAAUAAAGAACUUCUUAGGAUGGGAAAAUGGAAUUUGCACAACAGAUGCAAUGCAAGAUGUUAGAGAUAUCUAGGAAAUUGACUUUGAGAAGUCAAAAUUGGUUAUAUUAGUAGAGGCCAAGACUACUCCUGAAUGAGUAGUCAAAUUGAAAUAAAAGAUGUCUCUAACUAAAUAAAAAAAAAGGGAAGAACCACCAUAAGUGGCCUAAUGAGUCUCUAAGUUGGAGAGAUUAUACUUUUUAGAGGAUAGUAAAGGGAUGGUAAGCCCUCAAUGUCAAACUAUCGACAAACAUUGGCUUGGUGUUAAGGAUGGAAAAGGUAAUAUAUGCUAGUGUUACUUUAUAAAAUGGUUUAUCAUUCGAUGAAGAUAUCAAAUUUUGUUUAUGGGUGGUGGAGUUGUGAAACACAAAUCCUAGAGCCCCAAAAGUGGAGUCUAAAAUGAAGUCCAAGAUGGAUCCGAGGUGGAGUCUAAGAUGGAGUCCGAGAUGGAGUCUGAGAUGGACUUGAGACCAAGACCAAGUCUGAGUCCAAGACCAAGACCAAGACCAAGACUGAGACCAAGACCGAGAUUGAGACUGAGUCCAAGACCAAGACCAAGACCGAAACCGAGUCUAAGUCCAAGACCAAGACCAAGACUAAGACCGAGAUCGAGACCAAGACUAAAACCAAGAUCGAGACCAAGACCAAAACCAAAACCAAGACUAAGUUCAAGUCCAAGUUUGAGUUUGAGUUCGAGUCCGAAUACUAAUACAAGUGUGAGACACAAAAUCCCUAGGCCCCAAAGUGGAACCGGAAGGGUGCCAUGUGGUAGUGGCCGAAGCAGAAGCCAAAUGAGUGCAACACGUUUGGACUGAAAGCUCCGACUUGAAAGGUCGAGAGCGAGAGUGGGACUUCUAGCAAAGGGCUCGAGGAACGAGUACGAAGCGAGCAAUAAGAAAGGCUCCAAAAAGGGACCCAAAAGGACCAACACAUGACACGUGGAGGAGUCCAAGAUGGAGUCCGAGGUGGACUAAGUUGGAGUCCGAGAUGGAGUCCGAGACGGAUCCGAAAUGGAGUCCGAGAUGGACCCGAGUUGGAGUCCGAGAUGGAGUCCAAGAUGGACCGAGAUGGAGCCCAAGAUGGAGUCCGAGAUGGAGUCUGAGAUGGACCCGAGAUGGAGUCUGAGAUGGACCCAAGAUGGAGUCUGAGAUGGACCAAGACGGAGUCCGAGAUGGAGUCCGAGAUGGACCCGAGAUAGAAUCCGAGAUGGAGACCGAGGUCGAGACCGAGACCGGGACCGAGACCAGGACCGAGACCAAGACCGAGACCGAGACCGAGACCGAGAUCGAGGCCGAGGCCGAGACCGAGCCCGAGCCCGAGUCCGAGUCCGAGUCCGAGUCCGAGUCUGAGUCCGAGUUCGAGUCUGAGAGGGUGAAAGCCCAAAGCAUUCGUCUCCCAGACCCUGGGGGGUUUGGUGAGCUCCAAAAGUAUAGUAAGGGGGAGGACUGCAGUGGAGCCAAUUUGGCCAAAAAAGGCCAGUUUGGCUCAGAAAGGCUGUACCCAAGUGUUGGGUGAUGAGCUGACCAUUGGGAAGUCCAAGACUAGAGUGAAUACAGACCGACAAGCAGGGUAGCUUGGUGAAGUAUUCAAGAGCCAGCUCUAGUUCCCCCGGGAGAUCGACUGGCCGAUGCUCCCAGUCCAAGUGUGGGUGGCACUACCUACUUGGGUACCAAGUGUGGCUCAACAAAACCUCGCUCUAAGCCCAUGGCUAGAGCACCCAAAGGCGGAAGGCAGGGAGAGUACCCACGAGGCUUGUGUAAGGCUACAGUGUUCCGAAACGUUGUCCCAAAAGCCCAGACUGUGGAAAGGAAGAGGAAUAAUCCUCUGGUGUAAUGACCAAGGAUACAGUUGUGUGGUGAGGAAGUCCCAAAGUGGAUUUAGUGGUCGGGCCUGUAGGCCUUGAUUCAGUGGCAGUGUUGGCGAACACGGCCAUAGGCAGAAAGGGACUUGGUGGGGACCGGAAAGGGGAUAUUGGGGAAGGCUAUUCCCCAUGUCUGUGGGCAUCCUAAGGAUGCUAAGGAGUGGAUCUAGGAUGAUCACUCGUGGACGGAUGGCCCAGUCUUUGAGAGACGGGAUUGUGGUGUAAGUGGUGUCAGACCACCGAUGUGACCAAGGUGAAUGGGCAUGGCCUUAACGUAACGGGCUGAUGUGUCGGUGGUACAUUGGGGUGUCGGUCAUGGGACUGGACACGUGGAGCACUUGGACCAAGUGCAAAGGUUGAGUGGCAUGGAUGCCAUUCUCGGGGCUAACAAGCCCCAAGUCCUUAGAGGGACUUAUGGAGGUUGUGAAUGAGACUCCUCCAAGUGGUCGGAGGUGCAGUUAAGUGACUAAAGUAGAAUGGAAAAAAUUUAGUUGCUUACAACAAACUAUUGGGUGAAAGCCCAAAGCAAUCGUCCCCUUGGGGGGGGCGGGGUUCCAAAACUAUAGUAGGGAGAGUGUGGGGGUUGGGCCUUAGUGGAGCCAAUUUGGCUAGGAAAGGCAAGUGUGACUUAGGAAGGCUAUACCCAUGUGUUGGGUGAUGAUAUAUCCACUAAGGAAUCCAAGGUUAGAAUGAAUAUAGAUACAUAAGUGAGGUAAUUUGGUGAAAUGUUCAAAAGUUGACUUUAGUUCCCCCAGAGGAUUGAAUGGUUGAUGCUCCCAAUCCAAGUGUGGGUGGCACUACCUACUUGGAUACCUAGCAUGGCUCAUCAAAACCUCACUCUAACCAUAUAACUAGAGCACCCAAAGGGGAUGGUGGGAAGAGUACCCACAAGGCUCGUGUAGAGCCAUAAUGUUUCGAAAUGUCAUCUUAGAGUGGAAAAAAAGAAGAGCAAUCCACUUGUGUGGUAACUAAUGAUAUGGUCAUACAACAAGAAAGUUCUAGAGGACAUUAGGACAUAGUGGUUGGGCCUAUAGGCCUCAACCCCAUAGCAGUGUUGGCAAACAUGGCCAUGGACAAAAAGGGACUUGGUAGGGACUGAAAAAGAAAUAUUGGAGAAGAUUGUUCCCCAUAUCUAUGAGCAUUCUAAGGAUAUUAAGGAGUAGAUUUGGAACGAUUAUUCAUGGAUAGAUGGCCCAAUCUUUAAGAGACGGAAUUGUGAUACAAGUGGUGUUGGACCAUCAGUGUAACAAGGGUGAAUAGGCAUGGCUUUAGCGUAACGGGCUGAUAUGUUGGUGGUAACCUUAGAUGUUGGUCAUGGGAUCGAACACAUGGAGCAUUUGGACCAAGUGCAAAGGUUGAGUGGCAUAGAUGGCAUUCUCAGGGUUCCCAAGUUCAGAAUAGGACUUAUGGAGGUUGAGAGUGAGACUCUUCUAGGUGGUUAAAAUUAUGGUUAAGUGACUAAAGUAGAAUAGAAAAAUUAUUCGCUUACACCAAAAACUAAUCCAUCUAUUCAGGAAUGGUCAUCCCGUGACCACACCUUAGCAUCUUUAGGAUGCCUAAAAAUAUAGAAAACACCCUUCCCCAAUAUCCCUUCUUUAGUCCCCAUUAAGUCCUUUUUUUUCCACAAUUAUGCUUACUAACACCACCACUGGGUUAGGGCUUGAAGGCCUGACCACUAAGUCCCAUUGACAUCUAGGACUUCUUUGCCAUAUGGCCAUAUCCUUGAUCAUUACACAAGAAGAUUGUUCUUUCUUUUCCACAGUCUAAAACUUUGGGAUGACAUUUAGCCACGCCAGAUAUGCAAGUAGGUAGUGCCACCCACACUUGGAUUAAAAGCAUCAUGAGCUAAAACUGGCUCUUGAACUCUUCACUAAGUUAUCUUAUUUAUCUAUCUAUAUUCACUCUCCUUCAUAAUGGUUAUAUCAUCACCCACCAUAUAAGUAUAUUUUUCUUUGAUUACAUUGACCUUUCUUGGCCAAAUUGAUUCCAUUGGAGUCCUCCCCCUAUUAUCCUUUUGAAGCUCACCAAACCCCCUAUAGUCUGGGAGAUGAUCACUUUGGGUUUUCACCCUUAGACUUGGACUUUGACUCAAACUCAAACUCGGUUUUGGUCUUGGUCCUCAACUCGAACUCUAUUGUAAGCUCUUGAAUUUGGAUUUCCCAGAAAGUCACCCGACUCAGUAAUAUUCAAACUUAAGAAUGCUUAACCCCAAGUAUCCUAAAAACUUUAACCGAUUGGAAAAAGGGGUGAACUUUUAUUCAUGAACCUUUUUCCUUUAUAUUUGAACCCUUAUGAAUCGUCUUUUGAAUUGUUCCUUUUAGUUGUUUACAAUCCACCAUGCUUUCCUGCAAGUUGACACCUUCAUGAACUGAAGCUUACAGCUAGUGGAGCAAAUUGGAUUUGCCAGAUGUUACUCAAUAUAUGGUGUAAUUCCCCUAACUAACCAACAAAGUUAGACCCAAGACCAGAUAUCAAUCAACAUGUGGUGCAAUUCUCCUAACCAACCAACAGAGUCAGACCUAAGACCCUUCUGAUACCAAAUGUAAGCUUUUGGAUUUGGACUUUCCAGGAGGUUACCCAAUAUAGUAAUAUUUAAAUCUAAGGAUGCUUAAUCCCAAGUAUCCCAAAACCUUUAACCGAUUGAAAAAAAGGGUGCACUCUUAUUUAUAUGCCUUUUCCCUUUAUAUUUAAAUUUUUAUAAAUUGUCUCUUGAAUCAUUCCCUUUGGUUAAUUACAUCCAUCUCGCACUUUAUCUCAAACUCCAUUUUAGACUUCUUCUUGAACUCUAUCUCGGACUUUUUCUCGGACUUUUUUUCGGACUCCUUCUCAGACUUUUUUUCAGACUCCAUCUGGGACUCUUUCUUAGAUUCCUUCUCAGACUCAAUCCUAACACUUCUAUGUGUCAUGAUAUUUGCCAUAUGUUAGUCUUUCUUGAUUCCAUUUCUAGAGACUCAUUCAUCAAUCACUUUAUGCUCAUCCCUCAAAUACUUCCAUUUUGACCAUUGCCAUAUGACACCCUUUCGGCUCCACUUUGGGGCUUAGGGAUUUAUGUUUCACAACUCCACCACCCAUAGACAAAGUUCAAUGUCCUUAUUGAAUAAUAAACCAUUUUAUAAAGUAACCUUAUUAUGGAUUACUAUUUUCAUCCUUAGCACAAAGUUAAUAUUUAUCAAUGGUUUGACAUUUAAGGCUCAUCAUACUUUACCCAUCUUAUAAGGAGUAUAGUUUUUCCAGCUUAAAGUCUCAUUAGAUCAUCAAUGGUAGUUUUUUACCUUUGUUUAUUUAGUUCUCAUAAAAUCUAUUAGAAACACUUUCUCUAUUUCAUGUAAAUAACUAAAGAGAAUAACUCAAGAGACGAUCCACAGGGUUUAAAUAUAAAAAGAAAAAGCCCAUAAAUAACAUUAUACCCCCUUUUUAAUUGAUUAAGAGUUUUAGGAUACUUAAGGUUAAGAGUCCUUACGUGGAUAACUUUCCGAAAAGUCUAAAUUUAAAAGUUUACAUCUCAAUUUUACUACUCAUUCUAAGAAAAUUGACUCAAGAUGUCAAUAUUAAAGUUCUAGAAUGCAAUAGUUAUGUUGGUAGAGGCUGAAACUACAAGUGUGUCCAACAUCUUGUAUUUCACCGGUUACGCAAACUCCACUUCCCCAUCCUAAAAAGUUUUGGAGCAUUUAAGAAUCCAUGAAAUUUCUUUUCUUUCAUUGUUGUUUGCUACAAUGUUGAUCAUCCUAUUACUACUAGACUAUUUUACCCAUGCAUCAAAAACUUCAAACUUAUUCAUGGUGAUAUGUGUUUCAUAGCAACAUGGAACAAAACAAAUUAGAUUAUUACUAAAGGUAAAAAUUAUUUAAUUCAAUGGAGGAUAAAAUAUGAAAAUCCAAAAAUGGAGAUAUAAGAAAUAUUAAAUACAUUUUAUUGAUAUAAAAAAAUUACAAAUAAAAUAUUUUAUUCUUUAUAUUCACCACCAUUUGAAAAUUUAAUAAAAAGAUAAAAUCUUUAAGGAACUUUGAAAUUACAUUAUAUGGACAUUAAUUAUGAAUAAGGAUGGAAAAGUUUUUUCACUUGAAAAUUUAAAAUAAUAACAUUUUAAAGAGUAUAUAUUAAAGAAGUGUGUGUGUGUGUGUGUGUGUGUGUGUAUAUAUAUAUAUAUAUAUAUAUAUAUAUAUAUAUCACAAAAUAAUGUCAUAUUAAAAAGUGAAAAUUUUGCUAGUAUUUAAAAAUAUUUGUAAUAAAUACUACUCAUAGUUAUGCUUUCUCAUCAUCACACACCAUAAGGAAAUGGUUUCUUGAAAUGGUGAAGAAAAGUAUACAGCUAAAAUUUAAAUCCCAAAAUGUAAUUAAUUAUUAAAAUUAAUAUUUUAAAUAAUAUUCUAAUAGAUUUUUUAUUUUUUAUUUUUAGAUUUAAAUUACAUUAUUAAAUUAUUAAUAAAAUGAUAAAUUGAAAUCCUUUUAAAAACUAGUACUUUGACAAAUGAUAUUAAAACUAAGGUAUAGUGAAAAACUAAUAUGCAAUUAAGUAGUAUUUAGUAUUUUUUUACCAAUUUUUUCCUAUAUUUUUUGCAAUUUACGGAUAACCACAAUGCAAAUCUAUUUUGGAAAAGACUUUUGCAUCUCUAAGUCUAUGCAAAAUAUUACCUACUGAUGAUAUAUGCACUUUGUCCUUCAUUGUCUUCUUGUAUAAAGCUUUAUUGUCUAUCCCUGCAUUGAGUCAUCCUUUUUCUUGGCAAAUGAGAUAGAAGCACCAAAAGAAGAUUUGUUGGGUUGGAUAAACCCAUACUCAAGCAACCCAGUCAUUGGCCCUUGACCUUUAUCUCAUCUGCAUGACUAAGACAAAAUGGUUGUCUAUAAAUUGGCUUUAUACUAGGCUUUAGCAGUUAACUCUACUGGAAACACAUAAGUAAAUUCUUCAAGCUUCACCCAAACAACCUCUUCUCCUGUGAGAGAACUUAAAGUAUCUAACUCUCUAAUGAACAUAAAAAUCAUUCCCUUUAUUAUAAAUAGCUCCAAAGACAUGGUUGACAUCAUCUGUGUGAUGAUUGGAAGAUCACUCCACUAAUCCAAUUUGACUUGGUGAAGACUCCACUUGAUCUCGGGAUCAAUGGGGCAAUUUUGCCCUUCUUUCUUGAUCACAUAAGCCAAAUUAUUCCAAGAUCAAAUCCACAUUCUUCAUGGCAGCCAGAAAAAAAUCCUCAACGAACUCCAUUUUUCCCACCUUUAUGAGAAGUUGCAUGAUGUCCCACUUCUGAGUUUCUGUGCCAAUAAUCUUAUACAGAGGCAACUUCCCUAAACCCUCACAUUCCUUUACCAAUUUUGAAAAAAUAAAUUGAGCUGCCAAUCAAUUAGGAUCAUCACUAAACACUGCUUAGCUAUCCCUCCACUUGAAUUAGUCAAGAUUUAGUCAUCAAGCCACCAAUAUCAUCACACUAGAUUUGAUCAAUAAUUCUACAAUCACUAACAAAUGUUCUUUCAACUCAAAAGCCUCAUUUGUACACUACACUUCCUAGAUCUUCUUGUUGUUAGAAGCACCAACUCCAUUGUUGUUCUUCAGCAAUAUUUUCUUCUAGUGAUCCAAAAAUCCACACUUGAAGCAUUGAUAGGAUUAGUGAUGCAAACCGUCUUUGAAAUUUGGCCAUUAUUCCAGUGGCUUCUACCAUUUUUGCCAUGCCCUCCACCAUUGCUACUAUAGAAAAAUCCUACCAUAUGGAAAUUUGAGUAAGAAUUCUUGCUAUUGCCACUAUCACUAUAUCCAAUAUCAUCUUUAGAAACUCCUAUUACACUAAUUCUUCUUGGUGUUAUCAGGCUACUACUCUUGUGACUCCUCAUCCUCAAGUGCUCCAACAUCCAUAAAAAAUUCCUCCGGCAACUUGGAAGUUUGGGUAGACUUCGUAGAUUUCUACAUGUUAUGGUUGUGCAAACCAUCUAGGAAGUAAUCCUUCUCCACCUCCUCCAUAUAGUCACUUCAAAUUCAGCUAAACAACAUUCCAAACCAAUUAUAUACUCAUUGAUCAAAUUGCCCUUCCUCUGCUGUAGCUAACACCAAGCAUGCCAAGCAUCAUAGGUGCAAACUCCUACUUAAAAGCUACUACAAACUUUUCUAAGGAGGUAAAUGGUCCUUUCCUAGUGCUUAUUCAUUAGUUAUUUGCAUCCACCACUGUGAUGCCUUGAUUUUCAAGGCAACCUCCAGAAGGAUCAGUGGUUAAGUAUCAUCAAAACCUUGGACCUGGAUCAGCCUUGAGAUUUUACCAAGGUUUCAUCUGCAAUACCUUGUGAUUAGAUUACCACUACCACCUCAAGAUUGAUCAAGCUUUUCCAUGCAAGUUUGCAUGUCUUGCUGGGAGUCACAUCUCUUGCCAAAAAAACCUUUUACAUAAUCCUUCAAAACCACAAUGCAUAGAGCUACUAGACUAUAGUGGGUUGAAUAAAACUCCUUUUUGCUUUUUCUUUUCUUAAUUGUUUAAAGUUUUUAGUUAGAUACGCCAUUUUCUUAGACACUCAAUGACCUAAUCCUCUAAUUGACCUACUAAUCCCAUACUUAGCCUUAAGCGGAUAAUAGGGUGCUCAAACUUGGAAUUUGCCAUGUCAAGUUUCCCUCGUGCAUUACACACUUAGGCAUAUAGUCUAUCUGCUUUUGAACGUAUGUUAUGACAUUAGCAUGUGCCCUUACUUGGCGGCCAUUUGUUGUAUGGAUUACUUCGUGCCUAGGAUCGUGCAGGCAGAGUCUUUACUGGUAAAGCCUAUGCAUCCCUCAGCAGUAGAACAUCUCUUCAAUUCAGAUGCGGCCAGUGAAGGUUAGUUUGCCCACAUAGUGGUCAUGAUCAAUUGAGGUAAGGAAGCUCAGAACCGUGUUUGUAUUGCUGAAAUGGUCUGGGCGUAGAGCAGAUUGCAACUGUACUCCAAUUAGUCUGCAAAAGUUUGGAUAGAAAAGUUUGUCAAAAGUUGCUUUCCUUGUGCCGCAAGUAACCCUGUGGAAGUGGGAACUACUUGACCUUCUCCACUAUGAAAAUCGAAGAAACAAGCACUACAGCUUUGUGAACCUGUCCAUGAUCAACUGGAUUGAAGGAAAUUCCACUAUAAAUUGCUUGCAAUACGCUUGUCCAUGACCAGCAGAGUUCGAGAAAUGCACGCUCCUCACCACCACCAGACUCAUAUAUUGUAUGUGAAAAGAAUACCUUUAUCUAAGGGUGUAUGCGUUUGCCAGUAAGAGGUAAGGUCCAGGUACAUGAUGAUCCAAAUUAGUUGUCGCCACCUUUCCCAACCGUGCAUUACCAUGUAAUUUACACUUUCCCAGGAGAAUUGUCCAUGCUCCCGGAUCCGCACAAGAGGUGACCAGUUCUCUCGCCUCCUCCAGCCUCCCACUCCGCCCCAAGAGAUCAAUCAAACAGUGGUAGUGUUGGACGCCGGGAGCUAUCCCACAGUCCGUACACAUUACCCGGAAAUAGUACAGCCCCUCAUGCAACCGCCCACCGUGGCUGCACGCCGCCAGGAUGGUCACAAACGUCAGGUCACUGGGUUCGACCCCCUCUCCAAACAUUGUCGAGAACAAUACCAUGGCCAGCUCCACAAGACCAUUCUGAGAAUAUGCGGCUACCAUGGUGCUCCACAGCACGGGGCUGCCAUGGUACGGAAGUAAGAGCGCGUGGAACUCGUUAGCAGCUGCGGUGAGGUCUCCGCAUCCUCCGUACAUGCUGAUGAUGAGACCCCCCAACAUGAGCUCAUUUGACACGGAGUUGAAUUCUCUGAAAUUUGCGUGGAUUGAUCGGGCAUCAGAGAGCGAGCCAAUGCAGCUGCACGCGAAAAACGCACUCGCAAAAGCGCUCUCAUCUGGGUGAUACCCUUCUUGGUUCAUCCUCCGGAAGAGGGAUAUCCCCUCGAUUCCAUGGCCGUUUUGGGCAUAUGCCGCGAUCAUCACGCUCCAUGUCACUGUGUUCCAGCACGGCAUUGUGUCGAACAACAACUGGGCUUCCUCAAGAUGCCCGUGCUGGGCAUAUCCAGCCAGCAUUGCAGUCCACGUCACAACGUUGGGUGCUGAAGUGGACUCUAGCAUGGCUUGUGCCUUGUCCAAAUACCCGUUUCGGGCAUAUGCAGCGAGCAUCGCAGUCCACGAGAUGUCAUCUUGCUGAGGCAUUUUUGCGAAGACAUCUUCCGCCUCUGAAAUGUUUCCACUCUCGGAGAACGCGUUAAAGAUGGCCGUGCAGGAUAUAAUAUCGCGCUCGGGCAUUUCUGUGAACAUCGCCAUCGCUUUAAGAGUAUGCCCAGCUCGGGCAUAUGCCUCCGUCAUAGAGGACCAAGCAACAAUGUCCAACGCUGGCAUCUGGUUAAACAACGCCCGACCUUGUGUGAGUCUUCCAGUUGCUGCAAGCGCAUUCAAGAGCGUCGUCCACGAAAACAGGUCUCUCUCGGGCAUUCUCUCGAAGAUCGUCCUUGCUUCGCUCAGAUCCUCGCCCUGCGACACUGCUGCGAUGGCAAAGUUGUACGAGGCAACAUCGCGCUCCGGCAUCUCCUGGAAAAGUUUCAGAGCUUCGGUGAAACGCCCGUCUCGGACAAGGGCACCCAAGAGGCCGUUCCAUGACAGGAUGUCGUGGCAGGCCAUGUCAUCGAACACCAACCGCGCGUCGUCGUAGUGUUUGCUGUGCUGGAGCAUUGUGUUCCACGUCACAAGAGACCACCCGGGCAUUGUAUCAAACAUGCUCCACGCCUUUUCCAAAUGCCCACUAGCGGCAUUUGCUACAAUGAUAAUGUUCCACGAGAUUAUGUUCUUGUGUGGCAUGCUGUCAAAUAUUUCAUUCGAUUCAUUUAGAAAUGGAACAUCAGAAUAGGCUUUGAGGAUUGCAGUCCACGAAACCACGUCCCAACACGGCAUGUUUUCGAACAUCAAUCUUGCGGUGUACAAAUCCCCGUUACUGGCAUAUGCAGUGACGAUGAUGUUCCACGAAAAAAGAUUCGGCUCCGGAAGGCUAUCAAACACCUCGCGGGCUUUCUCAACACUUCCGUGCUUCCCAUACAUUUCGAUGACAAGGUUGGCGAGGAAAAUGUUGUGGCGGUGCUCGCUGGCGGAGAUCGUCGCGUGGAUCUUUUGGGCUUGCUGGAGACUCCGGCACGACUUGACCAGGUUGGCGUACAAUGCUGGGUCCGAUUGAUCCAUUGCAGCAGUGGUCAAGUGCAUCGUUUUGACCCGUGUGAAUCAAUCCCAAUCGCUUUGAUUUUCAACUGUUUUGGAUCGAGAUGAUCUAGCCAUCUUUGCUACACCAUAAAAACGCUUUGAUUCUCCACUACUCAAAGCUGGGACUGGGACUGAUGAGAGAAAGUCUGAAUUGCUUCCAUCGACUUCGACUUCUCGUUAUGAAGAUUCUACUCUCCACAGUCGCCGUCGCCGACAUUGCGCAAGCGGAAAAAAUUGGUUUGAUAACCAAAAAGAGGAAACAAAGAAGGCCCGGCCCUACCCCGAACGAAAAAGUUCCAUGUAUAAAAACUAAAGGAAAGAAACACCCAGACGUGGCGGGAAUGCAAAGUGAUUACGUGGCGGACGACGUGGCAUGGCAUGGCAUGGCUGCCGAGCCUCUCGAGCCUGCCGAGGCUGGACAUCCGAGGCUGGCAUUGCUUUUGCCGAGGCUGCCGUGGGUAUGCCGCCCAUGAUGCCAUGCUUGGGGAAGGGGCAAAAGAAUCGAAAGCUCCAAGAAGAGGUUUAUAUUUCGGGAUGGAGAUGGAGGGUUUUGUGGCUUUGCUGUGGAGAUGGAAGGCGCCCCGGCGACGAUCCUGCCGCAUUCCGUCUAGGAAGCGCAAGCGAUCGAUCGAUCCAUCGCCGCGGCGGGAAGGGUGGAUCUUUGGUUGUUGAUUUCUUUGUUUGGCCGAUCACCUUGAUCGCAGACUGAGCGGGCGCCUUGUGAGCUGAAAUAUUGCCGAGAUUUUGGCAGCUAUGCGCGAUCGCCGGUCAUGGGGAUCGUCGCGCAGCUCGGGCUGGGCCUCGUGAUUGUUCUUUGCGCUUGCUUCCCACGGUCUUUGCAAGGGCAUGAUGGAUUACAUUCCAGGCGCGCGUUCCUGCUGGAUCGCGGUAAGCUUGAGAGGUUUUCUUGAUCGAUUCAAGCAACUGACAUCUCUUUUUGUGAAUUUCCCAGGUGCUGAGGCGAAAUAUCUCCGACACACACGGAAUUUCAGCGAUUCCUUGCCUGGGGAGACGCGCCGUGUGGAUCCUCUAGAUGGUCUCAAGCACUACCGAGGGGGAUUUGACAUCGAGAACAAGCAUUACUGGGCGGUAAGUCGAUCGUCUUGUUUGUAACUUGCUACAAAGUGAAAAUUUGGUGACGCUCCUAAUCGUGAUGCUUUUGUGAUGCUAGUCGGUGCUUUUUUCGGGGAUAUAUGGGUACGCACUUGCGGUGGCAUCAGUACUACUUGGCCUCGUUUUCCUGGUGCUGCUUUUUGUUCGAUCGAUGAAGAGGAGGGAUUUAAAAUUCCAAAAGAUGGCUCCUAGUGCUUCAAAUUCCCAUCACUCUAUUGUGUCUUCGGCGGCUUUGAUGCUUUUGACACUGUUAGCACUGUAAGUGUUCUCCGUGCUUGGAAGUCUGUUUAUAUCUAUGACUGACUUUGGGCUCGUUUAGUGUCUUUUGCUGCUUGCUUCUUGUCGGAAACAAGAGGCUACACGAGGACGCCAACGUUGUGAAAGAUGUUCUUAUUGAGGCUGCCAACAAUGCCACUGCUACUAUAUACAAUGUCACGACAGAGAUGACGGAUAUAACGACCAAGUUGGAGCCAUUCGAUGGUAACCUUACUACUCUGUUCUCGUCGAAGGCCAGGCUCUACUUUGAAGCCGUGCAAAUCCAACAAAAGGUUCAGGACAACAAGAAGAUGAUUGAGAGAACGUUGAAAGAAAUGUGAGGUUAGCUCCAUUGCGAUCGUUAAGCGAUGUGGUUAACCAUUUUUUUCUCAUUGCAGAUACAUCACUAUCCUUGUUACGAGCUCGGUAAUAAUGCUCUUUUUGAUAGUGGGACUAGUUAUUUUGAUCGGUAGGGUCAGAUUUCUGUGAUAAGUACUCGUAUACUGAACAUUAAAUGGUGUUGCAGAGAAGACGCAUCCGUUUUGGUGGUGGUUCUUUCCGUUGUAAGUAGUUUUUUUUGUCUUGUUCUAAAUUUUUUGAAAGUAUCUUAUGCCUUUCGUUAUGUUAUGGCAGGAUUACUGUUGCUCUUUGGCUACUGACAGUAUUCAGCUGGAUCGCCUUUGGAUUGUCUUACGCGGCUCACAAGUAAUCUGAUAGUUUUUCUUUAAUCCGCUUCUUUCUCAACUGAAAUAAGUUGUCAGUGUCGUGGACGACUCCUGUACAGCUCUAGAGGAGUAUCAACAAAACCCAUACAACAACACAAACGCACUGGGCUUGCUCCUGCCUUGCGUCGAUUCCAAGAAUGGGAACGACUCAGUCCUCAAGAUACGUGAAGGCAUGUACAGAGUUAUCGCACAGGUAAGCUUGUGGUGUUCCAGCCAUGCAUCUAAAUCCGAAGCUUUUCUCUUGCCAGGCGAAUAGGAAUAUAUCGAAGCUACGUACGACGAUGGAUGGCAUCGGGGACAACCGCGUCAUCCCCCACAUUUGCAAUCCAUUCUCCGGCCCUCCACACUACAAGCUUACAGGGCAGUGCCUCGAAGGCACUGUGGCGAUAGGUAACGUUCCCCAGGUAAUUAAGAGACGCUGCUUUCAGAUCGAUCGUCACAAACUUUGAUGGUUUUUGAUGGAAAAAACUUACAGGUGCUCCAGCCGUUUCGAUGCUCGGCCAAAGACGAGCACGAGUGUGCUACCGCCGAAGGCGUGCAGCACAUCCCAGACCCGAUCUACAGGACCAUUCUGGCCUACAGCGCCGCCGCGCAGACGCUCAUCGACGCCACCCCAUCGCUGGAAAGCCUCGCGAAUUGCUCCUUUGUGGUGCGCGCUUUCUCGGUGAUCGUGGAUGGUAAGUGCCGCCCCGUGAGGAGCUCCAUCCAUCUCCUCUGGGCUGCGUACGCUGGGCUCGCCACCACCGCGUUUUUACUCCUCAUUCUCUACGCCAUACGGAUUUACUCAAAGCUCAAACAAUCCAAAACACAGGGUUAAAGUUUUUUAGGGCUUAUUUGAUUUUAGGGCUUUUAUUCGAUUAAAAUUUUUAAGGCAUAUUUGAUUAGUAUUAAGCAAUCUCUGCUUAGAAUAAACUAAUUGAAAAAAAAAAAAAGAUUCCUUUCUCGUGUUGUAUAAGGCUGCCGCUUGGCAAGCGUGGGCUCGUGAUUGAUCGAUCGCGAUCAAGAAAAUAUUUCGCUAGCGAGCGCGCAAGGUAGGGAAUUUCUCGGCCUGGCGCCGCGAUUGAUCGUGUGGCAGCUCCGCAAUGGCGUCCAAUGCGAGCGAAUCGGCGGUGCCUGCCAUUGCGCAUCCCACUCCCGGGGAUUCUUUCGGUGUGGCGGCCAACAUUGUCUACCAUUCGCAGUUCUCUUCUCGAUUCUCGCCGUUUAAGUUCGAGGUGGAGCAGGCAUUCUAUGCCACUGCGGCGAGCGUGAAAGACGCCCUUGUCCAGGUCUGUCUAGUCUCCUAUUCACGAUAUAGAAAUUUUUCUUGGAUGGAUUGUUAGAGGAAGAACAUGAUUCUUUUCUCUUGGUUGGAUCCAUGGAUUUUUUAUAGAGAUGGAACGAAACAUACAAGCAUUUCCACGAGGAGGAUCCCAAGCAAGUUUAUUACUUGUCCAUGGAGUUUCUGCAAGGAAGAGCGCUCACCAAUGCCAUUGGAAAUCUCGGCCUCUCGGACGCUUACGCGGCUGCGCUGACGAAGCUGGGCCAUGAUCUCGAGAACGUACGAGAACAAGUAAGUUCUAAGUAUCCAAACUUUGUGGUUUCGUUCGAGCUAAAGGAAUUUUCUCUCCAAGGAAAAAGAUGCAGCUCUUGGAAAUGGAGGUCUCGGGAGGCUUGCCUCGUGUUUUCUAGAUUCCAUGGCGACUCUCGAUUUACCUGCAUGGGGAUAUGGCCUACGAUACAAGUACGGGCUUUUUAAGCAGAUAAUUUCCUCUAAAGGCCAGGAAGAAUAUGCAGAGGACUGGCUAGAGGUAUUUCCCUUGCUUGUUAGCGAAGCAAUCGUUCGUGCUCACUUGAUCUUCCUUGGCAGAAGUCUAGUCCUUGGGAAAUAGUCAGGCACGACGUAACAUAUCCAGUUCGAUUUUUCGGUGAGGUGCAAGUCGAUUCUGAUGGAAGGUGAUUUGUUUUUUGCUUCUAGCGUUUACAAAACUCUAAGCUCUUCUACCAUCUUUCAAGGCGGAAAUGGAUCGGGGGAGAAGUUAUGCAGGCUCUGGCUUAUGAUAUCCCCAUCCCUGGCUACAACACAAAGAACACAAUCAGCCUUCGAAUUUGGGAAGCGCGCGUGCCCGCCGAAGAUUUUGACUUGUAUGCUUUUAACGCCGGAAAACACGAGGAAGCAGUUCAGCUACAGCUGAAGGCCGACCAGGUGUGUUCUUGUUCAAAACAAAACUUUGUUCGUAUGACAUAUUUACUUCCUUCCAGAUCUGCUCAGUUUUAUAUCCUGGAGACAGUACUGAAGAUGGAAAGCUCUUGCGUCUGAAGCAGCAGUACAUGCUGUGCAGUGCUUCGUUGCAGGUGAUUGUGUGUGUUUUAAGCGUUUCAGCUUGAAAGUAUAGUGUCUUCGUGAUAUAGGAUAUUUUCUCGCGUUUCAAAGAAAGACGUGGAGCUAUCUCAUGGGAUGAGUUUCCAAAUAAAGUUGCUGUUCAACUAAACGAUACGCAUCCAACGCUGGCAAUUCCAGAAUUGAUGAGGAUUUUGAUGGACGACGAAGGACUUGGAUGGGAUCAGGCGUGGAACAUUACUUCCAGGUUGGUUCUUCUUUUUUCAAACAAGUAAUUCCCGGUCUAUCAACUUUCUUCUAUGUUGUCGAUUCUAACAGCACUAUAGCAUAUACUAACCAUACAGUUCUUCCGGAAGCACUUGAGAAGUGGUCACAAGUUGUCAUGGCCAAGCUUUUACCUCGGCAUAUGGAGAUUAUAGCAGAAAUUGAUAAGCGGGUAGGCAUUCUCAGUCUCUCUCUCAUUGAGUUUGUCUUAUAAAAUUGCUUGCAUUUGCAGUUUCAAGUGCUUGUGGCUAGAACAAGGCCCGAGUUAGAAAGUAAACUGGAAGCUCUACAAGUUUUGGAUAACUCCAACCCCGAAAAGAAGCUUGUGCGCAUGGCACACUUGUGUGUUGUGUCUGCUCAUUCGGUAACGUUUACAAAUUUAUAGCGAGGAAGGCCCGCUGAUUAUGCUUGCCAGGUGAACGGAGUUGCAGAGCUGCACAGCGAGAUAUUGAAGAAGGAGCUCUUUUCCGACUUCUAUUCGCUAUGGCCCGAAAAAUUUAAUAACAAGACAAAUGGUGUCACUCCAAGGCGGUGGCUACGUUUUUGCAGCCCCGAAUUAAGUGCGAUCAUUACCAAGUGGCUGAGGACUGAUAAAUGGGUCACAAACCUCGACCUUCUCAGUGGCCUGAGAGAGGUAAGAUCUAUAUUUCGAAAGACAGGCGGUAAGUUUUGCCUUGAAUUCAGUUUGCAGAGGACAAACAACUCCAGGAAGAAUGGAACGCUGCCAAGCUAGCCAACAAAGUCCGGUUCGCAGAUUACUUGCUCAAGGUUGUAGGGGUCGAAGUCAAUCCACAAACUCUUUUCGACAUUCAAAUCAAGCGGAUUCACGAGUAUAAGCGUCAGCUGCUCAAUAUAUUAUCCGUGAUCUAUCGUUACAAAACGAUCAAGGUCUGCCAUAGUUAUAAGUUUCCUCUCUCUUUUUUCUCGUUUCUAAUAGCUGGUUGUCAAUGUAGGAGAUGAGUCCCGAAGAACGUGCGAACACUGUCCCACGAACUGUCAUGUUCGGUGGCAAAGCUUUUGCAACUUACGCACAGGCAAAACGAAUUGUCAAACUUGUUACUGACGUUGGAGCUGUUGUCAACAAUGAUCCCAACGUUUCUCCACAUCUCAAGGUACGAAAGCUUGUGAUGCUUUCAAUACCAAAAACCGAGAUCGCUUCCUCUAUCCAGGUUGUUUUCAUUCCAAAUUACAAUGUCACGGUGGCAGAGCUCGCCAUCCCAGCCAGUGAGCUCUCGCAGCACAUCAGCACGGCUGGAAUGGAAGCAAGCGGUACGAGCAACAUGAAGUUUGCGCUCAACGGGAGCCUGAUAAUCGGGACACUGGACGGAGCCAACAUUGAGAUCCGAGAGGAAAUUGGUGAAGACAACUUCUUCCUCUUUGGUGCUCGAGCCGACGACGUCCCCAGGCUGAGAAAAGAAAGAGAACAAGGCAAAGUAAUGCUUCUCAAUCCUAUGAUCAUCUCUUAACUUCUCAUGUGUUCUUGUAGUUUGUUCCCGACCCGCGCUUCGAAGAGGUGAAGGACCUCAUUCGCUCGAAAGCGUUUGGCGAUUUCGAUUACGAGCCACUGUUAGAGGCUCUUGAGGGUGACACCGGCUAUGGCCGAGGGGAUUAUUUUCUCGUCGGUCAAGACUUCCCCGAGUACCUGGAUGCCCAAGACAAAGUCGACGAGACUUACAAGUAUAGACACAUUCCUUUCCUCCUUGAGCUGUGACUUACAUCACUCUUUUUCCUGUCCAGGAAUCGCGCAAAAUGGAUGAAGAUGUCGAUUCUUAGCACUGCUGGGUCGGGAAAGUUUAGCAGCGACAGGACCAUCUCACAGUACGCCAAUGAGAUCUGGCAAGUUGGCCAGUGCCGUGUUCCAUGAACACAAGAAGUAAGACACAUAGUAUUACGUUCUAAACGAACUCUUUCAUCUCGCUUUCUUUGUCAACAGAGGGCACGCUUCGAGCACGCGUGGACGUGGAAUCUUAUUGGGUGUAUUCGCUUAUAGAUAUCAUAUAGAGGGCUAUCACUGUUCACAGUGUGUUUGUUUGCUUGGGAGAGAACGAUGAGCGGAGAGAAACCUUGCUGCGCAGGUAAGUUUCGAUUUUCUCCAUUCAUGAUCUAAGCUUGCUCGGCUGCAGAUAAAUGGGACGAAUUCGUCGGCAUGGACGCCGAGGAAGCCAAGAAGAAGCUCAAGGAGGUUCACAGCACCCUUGAUGUUGUGAUCCUUCCAGAGGGCAGCAUAAUGACCAUGGAUUUUCGCAAGGACCGAGUGCGGCUCUUCACGGAUUCUAACAACAAAGUGAGUCAAGUUCCCAAGCUAGGAUGAUGGAUCAUUCCUAGUUUGGGGUAGUGCUACUAUAAAAUAAAAGCGAGCUACCUGAGAUCAUGAUCACUUGGUCUCUUCCGGUGUCUUGCUUUCCUUUCCUGUAAGAAGCCCUCUGAUCUUCACGUCAUACAAAAUCUCUUCGACUUUCUUGAGGUCGUAUUUCAAUCCUUCACGCAAGGAAAAAAAAAAAAGAAAAGAAAAGAAAGAAACUGGGUCAGUGUAGAGCGAAAGAUUUUCACUUCGUACCGUCAAAUCGCUUCCUGAGAUGAUCGUUUCGGAGAUUGAGGAGCCGGAACGCGGAGUACAAAUCACUCAAGAACAGCGAAACUCUCUCGGGACAAUCGUAAGCUCCCGCGACAACUUGAUUCACGACGUAUCUUGGCUGUGCACAGUAUGGAAAGAAGUUAAAAAUCCUCACAAAACGUACAAUAAAAACCACGCAUUUACACAUACCAGCUCGCUGGACAUGUUGCAUAGGCCUGCGACAAAGAUCAAAGAUCAAAACACGAAAAUAAAGCCUGGAGGCUCGAAACUUACCCACUAGAUAGUCGUCUAGAUCCAGAAAGAAAUCUUCUUUCUUCACUGCAAAUGAUGAGAAUGAAGUAAGCCGAGAAUGAAGUUGUAAUCGAGCUUACGCUCCAGGAGCUCUUGCGCGUCAGCGUGAGAAAGAAGAUCUCCAGUCUCCAACCAGUGCGAGAAUGCGAGCAAGGAAACCACGACCUGCGUUUGAUUCCGCCAGUAAUCGUGAUACCUGGAAGACAAAAAAGAAAAGAGCUAGCUCUCAAACCAUCCAUCCAUGACAAACACACACGCAAGAAGAAAGAAAAAAAAAACAUCGUACAUACACUUACUUGUAGUACUCCUCGGGCCGAGCUUUGAUGAUCGCCGUGAGCUCCAUGUAAGCCUUUCGUAUCUCUGGAAGGUAGCUCUUGGCUUUCUUGAUACUAUCUGGAAGCUUAAAAGUUUAAAGAGAAGAACGCAAUAGAUCUACGCUUACCGCCGGAGGAGGAGUGAUGGAUUGGAAGCAAUGCCGCAUUCAUGAGGCGAGUGGCGUUGUCCAGCUCUGACACCGCCGAUCGAAGCUGCUCCCUCACGGCAUUGGACGCAUCCAUCUCUGCGCGGAACGAUUCAAACUGCUCCAUGGCGCCGCAGCAGGCCGUGGCGGUGGUGGAGCAAGCGCGAAGGCGCACCGAUCCUCUAGGGCUAGCGCUGCGUGCGACGGAGAAGAGACGAAGAGCCCGGAACGCCACGACAGACAUUAGGGUUUAAACGGAUCCAUUAACCCUAAACCCUAAACAGGUCUCUUUAGUGCAUAGCUAAUGAAAUGUCUGAAUUGUUUGUCCAUUCUGUGGAGUGUAUCCAAUUUCUUAUCAAUGAGAUUGAUGACAUUUUGGAAGUUCUUUUAAACUCUAGAUUUCCAUCUACAUUAAAAGUUGGAUUGGGCCUUUUUGAAGAACAAAUCGUACGAAGAAACACACCCAGCUUAUCUAUUGUGUGGAGGGUAUUUCGAUCUAUAACAUCAUGCUAGUGAUCCUGACAUUCACGAGUUGAUGGAUGAUGUUGAAAUAUUCGGGAUCAAGGUCCGCAUGAAAUCAUGAAGAGAAAUCUGGAUGACACACCCUUGAAGAAAGUCUGGGAGGAAGUUUAGAACCGCGAACAAGCAAUAUCCCCAGGUUUAUUGAUUACAAUGGCUUGAAGUUAAUCGGCAUGGAAGAAUGCAAACCUUUAAUCGAGGCAGGGCUAUCCAUUCUAAAGUUCUCCGAAGAAGAAGUAAAUGUAGAAGGGAGUAAAGGAGGUCCCACUGCUUUAGCCAAAAAUAAGCUUGUAACAGUUCCAAGCAAGAGCAAAUCGACCCAAGGUAAUUCAUAACUACUUUUCAGGACUAUGUGUUUGUAUUUUGCAGCCUUUAAGAUCUUUGUGUGGGAUUCCUCUUACUAUCCAGGCAAAGUGGUGGCUGUGCAUGGGCCGCAUCCAAAUUUUGGGUCUGGACAAUCAGGAAUUGGAAGAGCAUUUCAUUUGCGGAUUAAUGACAACAUAUGGUUGGAACAAUCCCAAAACUGGAAGUGAUUACAAGACAGCCGUAUGUGGCCUCAUUGUGAAUCCAAUAAGAAAUGUAAAUUAUAAAUAUCUAUUAUUAUCUUAUAGACUAUUGAGUUUUAGUGGCUUUCAACAUGAUUUAGUACAGUGCUAGCUAAAUCAUAUUAAUUUUCAUAAAGAAGCUCAAGCUUAAGGGAAUAGAAUAUAUAUAUAUUGAUCGUAGCAAUACAACACAAAAUGAAUAUUCCAGUUAAUAUAUUGAUAAAAUUUAAAUUUCUACUAAUCUUGAAUAUAAACCAUUAAGCGUGCUUAAACGUACACAUGCUUGUUGAUCCUACGUUUGACGUGAUGUGACAAAAGUGUAUGAUUUCAGCCAUUGCGGCCUUAAGUCUAUUGUAACAUGUGCUGCUGGGCUGAUUUGAGGACCUCGCUGAUGGUUUGCGAUGAAGGCAGCGAAUUCUUCCAGAGGAGGAGCUGUCUCCCAUCGAUAGUAAGACUCAUGCGAUGCCGAACUAUUGAAGUAAUAGUUGCAGCACCAAUUGAGAAGCGCGAGGAAGGACUCGUUUUUUUCAUGAGAGGAGCAAUCGUCCUGUGCUGGCCUUGUCGUCGUUCUCCUGGAGAGUUUCCGGACGAAGCUCUCCAAAACUGUCAUGUUGAUUUGCCCUUCCACAUCAAUGAGGAACUCUCCAAUCUCCGAGAAAACCUCCUUGUAUGUCGCUUGCAGUAUGUUGACACCACCUUUCACGCUGGGAAAACCCACGUUUGGGAGAAAGUCAUUCCCGAGGAAGAAGCACAUGAACACGAAGUCCCUCAUUGCGGAUCUCGAUCUCACUUUGGAGGGCUCCUUCAUUUCAACCUCCAAGUCCCGAAUCAGCUUGUCAAUCCUUAAAAUCUUGUAAUCCAUGCCUCCUUCCUUCCUGGGCGUUUGCCUGAGAAUGUUGAUCUUCUUCGAGACCGGGCUGGCCAGGGAAUGCAUGAUUAAAUCCGCAUCACGUCCAACCACGCAGAAAGUGUCGUGGGCGUUGAAAGGCACAGUCUUGAUGUGCUUGAAGAUCUUGUACUCUCCCUCUCCAUCCUCCUCCGUUGUCGAGAGAAUCCACUUCAUCCUUGGAUGGGCACUGCUCAUUCUAGCUACAAGACCUCGCAGUUCCCUCACCACACCGUCCAUGAAUGGCGUUCCAUGGCAAACCAUCGCGAACCUUUCCUUUUCGUUCUUUGGAAGAAACCGAUCAUCCACGGAUGACGGAUCCAGCUCCUCCUCCUUCGAAACAGUACCUUGCCCGUUGGACUUCUUAAAGAUCUUGUGGAAAGUCUUUGCAGCUGGAGGCCUUCCAUCGAGAGCCAAGAACACAAGCUUGCUGGGCGACGCGAUACUCAAGAUGGUGUGCAUGGAAUCCACGAACUCUCGAUAGAAGCCGGCGAAGGUGGCGGGGUAGUCCUCCCUCUCCAAAAUCACAAAGAUGGCGGAGCCUACAUCUACGUACAAGUUGGCGCAUGUUGAAAGCAGCCCCGUGUUGGCAUCACAAACGCAGUCCGGGUGUUCUUUCAAAACCGAUGCAAAAUAGACUGGAAUUCCCAUCUGAGAGACAAGGGUUUCUACAGCAUUGGAUCCUUUUAUAAUCCAGGCAUCCUUAACCUUUUCCCUAUAUAAACUAAAAGGCAGUUAACAUUAACCACGUUUUAACUACAGCUUUAAACCUUAAACUUCCAUUCAAUAGAGAUGCUUGGAGUUUUCGUGAUUUUUCCAAGCUCUCGAGCACAUCCUCGUCUCUGGGUCAUACUCCCACAAGCCUGCUCGCGUUUGUCUCUCGAUCUUUUGCUGGUGUCCGGUCUUCCAGUUGUUGUGGAGAAUCACACAGCCAAGUCUCUGGCAAGUUCCUCUCACGUCUUUGCUGUCCCAGAUGAGCUUGUAGGCUCCGUUUGGAUACCGCCAGCGAUCCAGGAACUCGACUGUGAGAUUGGUCUCCGGCUCCACACACGAAGAAUUGCCUUUCCUGUGCUUCCCAUCCUCGCCGCACAAAACGUCGUAGAAGCUUGGCUGCUCCGAGAGCUUCGACUUGGCGGCGUGCUUGACGAUCUUGCGGAAGGAAACUAUGGUGGCGUUGUCCGACCACGCGAAGUAGAAGCCGGAAUUCAGUCGGCGAGGGAGAUUAACAGCUUCUGGAAAGAGUGUGAUAUAGAUGAGAGCUAAACUUCCAAACGUACCAUACCUUUCUCAUUGUACUCGUCCGUUUGUGCUGCUAGAACUCCCGGCCCGAAAGCCAUGAGCUCUCGAAUCGGGCUGCUAAACCAAUACACGUCCACGUCGCUGAAGAGAACGCUGUAGCCAAGCUCCAGAAUUCGCAGCACGGUUCUAGACUUGGACUUGGUCACUGUUUUAAAGCAGCUACUUCCAAACGUGCAGUCCUUGGAAUCACUUCUCCCAGACUCCGUUCGAAAUACAGGCAAUCCCUGCGAUAGAGUUUUUCCAGGUCUUAGAACUUCACAAAGAGCAAAGAGAAAUAAACAGUGACUUACUUGUAGAAUCCCGAACUGGUACAUUUCCUUGUCAAUGGUGGCUACCAGAUAGUUCGUAACGUUGAGAUGGCGAAGGCGGCACACCCAGCUCAUUAGCAUGUCCCUGUAGCUGUGACUUACGACUGUGAGCACCACUACCUUGUCCGGACUGGAAACUUUGAGCAGCAAUGACUCGAGCUGGUACGAAUAGCCACUGGUGAUCGAAGAGAGAUUUCCAGAAACCUGGUGCUGCGAUGAAGAACAAUCUAGCUGUGGAGCUGAAAGUUUCCCGCAGGAACUCUCACUUUCGUGGACAUAGCGCCGGAAACUCGUCAUUAAGGCCUGGCUUCUCCCUCCAGCGUCACAGCUUUGAUGGCACAGCUGCGAUCCACAAGGGAAGAGCCUGGCUACCGGCUGGUUUGAGAAAUGUGGUGGCUUGAAAGCGUAGGAGCCGUAAGUUCUCGCUAGUCGAGCAUUGGCAUCAACUUCCCAGGAGCUCGAUGGUGGUGCUUGGAUUGUGUCGUUGCUCAAGAGUAUCUGGAACGCUCCAAGUGCUUCACUCACGUCAAUCACCACCCGCAGCUCUGAUGCU
Molecule: long non-coding RNA, 29558 nt
Filed under: Selaginella moellendorffii
Lineage: Eukaryota; Viridiplantae; Streptophyta; Lycopodiopsida; Selaginellales; Selaginellaceae
Description: long non-coding RNA (SMOE_LNC001406)
Source: RNAcentral